UGGGGAAUAUUGCACAAUGGAGGAAACUCUGAUGCAGCGACGCCGCGUGGAGGAAGAAGGUCUUCGGAUUGUAAACUCCUGUUGUUGAGGACGAUAAUGACGGUACUCAACAAGGAAGUGACGGCUAACUACGUGCCAGCAGCCGCGGUAAAACGUAGGUCACAAGCGUUGUCCGGAAUUACUGGGUGUAAAGGGAGCGCAGGCGGGAAUGCAAGUUGGGAGUGAAAUCUACGGGCUCAACCCGUAAACUGCUCUCAAAACUGUAUUUCUUGAGUAGUGCAGAGGUAGGCGGAAUUCCCGGUGUAGCGGUGGAAUGCGUAGAUAUCGGGAGGAACACCAGUGGCGAAGGCGGCCUACUGGGCACCAACUGACGCUGAGGCUCGAAAGUGUGGGUAGCAAACAGGAUUA
RNAcentral lists this ribosomal RNA (408 nucleotides) under uncultured bacterium. RNAcentral describes it as "bacterial SSU rRNA". It matches the Rfam family "Bacterial small subunit ribosomal RNA", at positions 355 to 780 of the family's 1533-position model. The record is from RNAcentral.